UGAAACAGCCUAACCACUGAUAUGAUCAGUGUCUCGAAAGUUGUCUCGUAAGCUGAAGACGUAUCAAGUGUUAAAAAUAGAAAUGUUGAAACUGACGGUUUUCGCUUUUUCAAUGAGUAUCUGCUUUGCAUUACCUCCCAUUGGUCCCAAAGGGAUAUUUUCAGAGGAAUGUGGGGAAAAUGAGUUUCUCGAAACCUGUGCGUCAGCCUGUGAAGUUAUACCAACAUGCCAGGAUAGAUCUCCCAAACCAUACGAAGGAGCUUGUAUAGCAGUUUGUGUACGCAAAUGUAAAUGUAAUACAGGAUACAUAAAGGAUACUGUAACAGGAAAGUGUGUUACACUUUCAAAAUGUCCAUAGGAUGGAAAACAUUCAUGAAUCUCUGGUUAAUCAUAAGUUGACUGUUCAAUUAGAUAUACAUAAUUUUUUUAACCCUUUCCUCCUGGCAUCAAACCGGGGUUUAUUUUGCCACAGAAUUUUCAAAUCAAUCGAGUUACUUCGUUUUAUAGUGAUAUUUCAGAUUCAAUUAUGAAUUAUAUUGUAUAUUUUUUCCAUUGAGGGUAGCUAAUAGGACUGUUAUAUUGGUUGGAAACGAAACAAGCUCACUUCUGAGGCAUUUAAAGUAAUAUGAAAAAAAAA
Leptinotarsa decemlineata (Colorado potato beetle) is the source of this 637-nucleotide long non-coding RNA. The record is from RefSeq and is a predicted model, not a curated record. NCBI's taxonomy places the organism in Eukaryota, Metazoa, Arthropoda, Insecta, Coleoptera, Chrysomelidae.